Molecule: ribosomal RNA, 424 nt
Filed under: uncultured prokaryote
Description: bacterial SSU rRNA
Rfam family: Bacterial small subunit ribosomal RNA
Source: RNAcentral
UGGGGAAUCUUGGACAAUGGGGGAAACCCUGAUCCAGCCAUGCCGCGUGAGUGAAGAAGGCCCUAGGGUUGUAAAGCUCUUUCAGCGGGGAAGAUAAUGACGGUACCCGCAGAAGAAGCCCCGGCUAACUCCGUGCCAGCAGCCACGGUAAUACGGAGGGUGCAAGCGUUAUCCGGAAUCACUGGGCGUAAAGGGCACGUAGGCGGUCUAAUAAGUCCGAUGUUAAAGCGUGGGGCUCAACCCCAUCACGGCGUUGGAUACUGUUAGGCUUGACGACUGGAGAGGUGAGUAGAAUUACCAGUGUAGCGGUGGAAUGCGUAGAUACUGGUAGGAAUACCCAUUGCGAAGGCAGCUCACUGGACAGACCGUGACGCUGAGGUGCGAAAGUGUGGGGAGCAAACCGGAUUAGAUACCCGUGUAGUCC